RNAcentral lists this ribosomal RNA (3125 nucleotides) under Astasia sp. ASW08097. RNAcentral's name for it is "partial 18S small subunit ribosomal RNA". The stretch from base 446 to 3102 matches the Rfam family "Eukaryotic small subunit ribosomal RNA". Lineage: Eukaryota; Euglenozoa; Anisonemea; Natomonadida; Astasiidae. The record is from RNAcentral.
AGUAAAGCAGUGACCUUGCCUGUCCAACCUUUCUGCGAAUGGCUCAUUAAACCAGCUACACUCUAUGCAGAGGAUGCUUCUUUUUCGUGUCGAAGGGGUGGGUGGUUCGCCGCUCGCCUAUCCCAGGAGUCCACUUCUGCGGUCAAAGGAGACAACCACUGCCUCAUACCACAGGUUUGGGACCUCGGUCUCAUCGGAGUGGCAGAGCGGAUGGUUCGGCCCAGAGGAGGAAGUGGAGAGGUGCUCCAGCUCUUGGCGGUUUGCUUUUUUCAAGGAGGCGAUUUCGGAUACCUUUUCUGAAACAGAAAGCUAAUACGUGUGGUGCAGGCGCUCUCUGGGGCCCAGUCCUUGAGAUAUCAGGUGGAUAUCCCUAACCUUGUUUGUCCCCGACGGGGGAACUCAAGGGUGGGGUUGCUCAAGGCUGGCCUUAAGAGUAGUGCCGGUCCCCCUGCCCGGUCUUGUGGGGACCACCCCUUUCAGGGGUUGACCCAAGCCUUUCUGUGGAUGAUUCAUGGGGAUUCCGUGCUGGAGGAGCUUCCUUUGAAGAUCGCACCUUUUACCGAAGUUGCAUUAGCAGUGGUCUUUCUGCAAGCCCUGCCUCUCUGGUAGAGUUUCUGCCCUAUCAGCCUUGGAGGAUGAGGUUUCGGCCCAUCAUGGCUAUAACGGGUAACGCGGAAUUAGGGUUCGAUUCCGGAGAAGGAGCCUGAAAGACGGCUACUACGACCAAGGUUGGCAGCAGGCACGCAAAUUGCUCAAUAUCGAUGUGUUUUGGUGAAGCAGCGACGAGAAUUGCGACCCGUUCUAGGUUGAUUCCUAGGAUUGGUGGAAUGAAUGAGGACCUAAGGAAUGCAGUGAGCAUCCACUUGAGGGCCAGUCUGGUGCCAGCAGCCGCGGUAAUUCCAGCUCAAGUGGCCUACUUUGACGUUGUUGCUGUUAAAAAGCUCGUAGUUGGUUGGCAUCCAAGGGUUUACUCUCUGGUCACAGGAGUGAAGGCCUCCCUCGGGGGACCCUGAACUCCUUGGCCUUAGGCACCAAUAGGUGCGGGGUUUGCCUUUGAUGUGCCUUCCUCUGCCUUCUCCCUCCUCUGCAGGGGAAUGCAGGGUCACCUUCCUCUCCUUCGUGGUGUUCCCUUCGGGGUUCACGUGGUUGGUUUGGGGGUCCCUGUUGUUCUCUGGAAUGCGGUCCAGCAAUGGGCAUGUUUUCCCAGGGGAGAGCUAGGGAAGAACAGAGGUUGGUCGAUGGGAGCGAUUCUCCGUUGUUUGGGGUUCCUUGAGGCUUUCAUGGCAGCCGAGACCUGUUUUCACUGCGGUGUGCAAGACCUGUCUUUCGACCGCUUGGAAUAGGGGCCUUACCCUCGGGUUUGGAAAAAUCUCCCUUCUCCUUGCAACUGAAGAUGGUCUUCGCCACCAACGUGGCUCGUUGUGGGUCUCACCCACGCUGGGGGAUAUUCCAGCGGCUGUGUAUGUAUUGCCUUGGGGAAACUCUCAGACGCUUGGCUGCCUACAUCCUGAAGUUGCCGAGGGGCACCGACGCGCUUUUCCCAGGUUAUGAGGUGGUCCUUUCUCCUGCUUUUCUGAGGUUUUCCCCUCGGGGAAUUCUGAGGGACUGUGGUACAGGGAGGCCCUUCUGGCCUAGCGAGUCCUAGAGUGUGCCCACAAAGGAGAUGCCCAUUGGCUUUUUCCAUGAACAAACCAGGGCGAUUAAAGCGGUUGACACUCUUCCGAUCGAAUGUGAAAGCAUGGCCUAUCAAGGGAUCGGUCCUUCGGACCAGAGUUCUGGUAUUCUUUACUGAACCAUGCAGGAAGAAGUUUGGCUUUUCCAUGGCUUAGGGGUGUUCUCCCCCUUCGAACCCGUCCUCCCAUGAGGGACCUCGUUGUGGCAGUUUACACUGUGGGGACCUCGGUCCCUGUUUCACUUCGAGUAUCCUUAAAGGGGAGGUUUCUGGGCUUUGAAGGAUCCAUGGGAGUAAUCCCCUUCGCUGAGGGAAGUCAACGUGAUGACGGAGAUCGAUUCGGUGCUCAGGGUACUGGAGGGCGAGCGGUGAAAUGCUUUGACCCCUCUCAGGACCACCAGAGGCGAAAGCGCUGAGCGGGUUUCGAUCUGCCAAUCAAGAACGAAUGUGCGGUGAUCGAAGAGGAUUAGAUACCCUCGUAGUCCGCGCUGUAAACUGUGCCUUCUGAGGAUGUUGACCGUGUUCCUUCGGAAUAUCGGUCUAUGUCCUACCCCCACAACGAGAAAUCCAAGAGUAUGGGUUCAGGGGGAAGUACGCUCGCAAGACUGAAACUUAAAGGAAUUGACGGAAUGGUACCACAAGGCGUGGAGCUUGCGGCUCAAUUUGACUCAACACGGGAAACGUUACCUGGAUAGCACGAGGGCAGGACAUGACAGGCUGAAUCCCUUUCUCAAUGACUCGAAAAGUGGUGCAUGGCCGUUCCUGGUUGGUGAAGUGAUUUGUCUGGUUGAUUCCGACAACGAACGAGGUCUUCCCCUUCCAGUAGGCAGCGUUCUCGCUCGCAAGUAGGGCUUCCUUUGGUCCCGUUAUGGGUGGUUGAUUGCUUAUCUCCCCUCGGGGAGGUUUGCGUCACCACCUGGGGCCAUAGGGACCCGAGAGCAGCGCGUUUGCUUCUCAGUGGGACCGGGCACCUUGUACUUGUACUAAGUGUCCCUAUCCAGAAGCCGACAGCAGGUCUGUGAUGCCCUUAGAUGCCCAGGGCUGCACGCGCACGACAAUGGGGUGGUCAGCGAGUGCAGUACCCUUGCCGGAGAGGGGUGACUUGGGGAAGUAAGGUUCGUCCUCUUUCCUGGGUUGUCCUUUUCCGGUAUCCAGGAGGACCCCUGUUUUGACGAUAAAGUAGGAAAUCCCUUAAGCCAAAACCGUGAAUGGGGAUCGGUGAUUGCCACUGUUUGCCUUUAACGAGGAAUGCCUAGUAAGUGCAGGUCAUCAGCCUGUGCUGACUACGUCCCUGCCAUUUGUACACACCGCCCGUCGUUGCUACCGAUGGUGUUGAGAUAGAGACCAAAGGAGGCUAGUAGCUUGGGUCAGGCUUAGCGGAGGUUCGCCCCUGCUUUCCAACCCCUUGUGAACGACAAAUUGGGUCAAUAUCUCAUUGCUGGAGGAAGCAAAA